Molecule: long non-coding RNA, 6923 nt
Filed under: Medicago truncatula (barrel medic)
Lineage: Eukaryota; Viridiplantae; Streptophyta; Magnoliopsida; Fabales; Fabaceae
Description: long non-coding RNA (MTRU_LNC008458)
Source: RNAcentral
AUACAUAUAUAUUCAUUCCAUCGUUAACUGUUCAUAAUGUAACCAUUAAUUGCAGUUAAUUCUUCAUUCAGGCUUAUAGGUGGGAAGUGGUUUAAGAAGUUAAUAUUGACAGUCCAAAUAAACAGACAUAGUUUCAUAGUUUUAUUAUUUUUUUUGAAACAGCAAAGGAAAAGAAAACAAAAGAUGCCACUACCAGUCCUAGAUGACAGAAGUUAUGGCCCUGCAAUUCAGCAACACAACCAAAUUUCAGAGACAUAGCUAACCCACCCCACUAAAUCAACCAACAGAUAGAACAGCCUAGAUGAGGCGCUGCUAACAGCAGCUAAAACAGCCCCACAACAGCAAAAAUCCUUCUAGCAGCGCAGAACCAAAACAUGUAUCCUCCAACUUCUGAAGUGCCUUCCAGGUAUGAAUUGCAAAGUAACCAUGGUUAAUAUUAUAGUUAGAUUGAUUCCUGGUGUAGAUCUUGUUCUUAGAUUUGAAUUACUCCUUGUAGUUUACAAAAAUUACUAAAAUAUGAGUUCAAUUAUUUUUAGAAAUGUCCAUGAAAACUUUUAGAUCUACAUGAUUUUUUUUUUAGAGAAGAUCUACAUGAUUAUUGUCAGCUAUUGAACGUAGAAAAAAAUGAAUAUAUUAGAAAUCUGGUAAAACUGCAUUAUGAGCACAAUUUCAGAUGAUUCAUUUCAUAAUUAUUGUAAUUUUAAAAAGCUGGUAAAAUCACUGAAGCAAGUGAUAUAAACUGUGAUAAUUAUAUAAAUAAAAUAAAUGAUAUUAACAGGUUAUACUAAAAUAAAUUAAGUAAAAUAUUAGAUUUAGAAAUAAGCAGGUUGUUGCAGCUUAAAUUUUGAUAUACUGAACAUUACUAUAGAUGAGAUAUGAGCAAAAAAGACAGUUGAAAUAAGCAAAAUCUAUAAAUUAAAAAGACAGUUGAGCAUGCCUUUUAUAUCUGAACAUUACUACAUAUUACAUUCAGAAAUAGAUUAAAAGAUCAGUAACAGAUGGUGUUUAUGGAACAUGUAGACCUGAACAUUUGGCAACUGCUAUAUAUAAAUCUUUCAGGUAGAACCUUGAAUAUGGAAGAGUUAGCACCACAUUUUCACAUAACAUCAAAAGGAUGAUAUUUUAGCAGAUUUAGAACCUGUAUGGUAAGUAUAUUGAAUUAGUAUACAAAUAAUUUUAUUAACAAAUUUGUUGAAAAUGGAUUUAAGUAUUGAAAAUAUAACUAUAGACAACAUUUGUUAUGAUAAUACUUACUUGUCAAACAUUUUGAAAGACUUCUUUAUAGACUACAUUUGUUGUGAAGUCUUUGGGUUGGAGAUGUUCAUCAUGUAUGAGUAUCUUGAUUCCCUUUUUGCUUGUGACUCUUGAGAUUGCAACAUAUAUUUGCCCAUGACUAAAUACAUCUUUAGGUAAAUAAAGUCCAACCCAAUCAAGAGAUUGACCUUGUGAUUUAUUGAUAGUCAUUUAAUAAGAACAAACAAUAGGAAAUUGUCUCCUAGAUAAUUUGAAUGGCCAUGGAGAUUGAGAUGGUGACAUAUCCAUACGUGGAAUAUAGAUAAUAUUACCAUGAUGCUUCCCACCCAUAAUCUUAGCUUCCAAUACAUGAUUUGCUAGCUUUGUAACUAUCAAUCUUGUUCCGUUACACAAACCUUCAGACUGAUCAAUAUUUCUCAAAAGCAUAAUAGGACACCCAACCUUUAAUUUGAUCUUAUGGUUUGGAAGUCCAGAAGUGCGUAGUGUACUGAGGAAUUCAGGUGUCAACACAUCAGUAAUGGUGUUAUCAUGAAAUUCAGAUCGAUCAAUUGAGUUGGCACUUAAAUAUACUCUCUCUUCACCUGCAUAAUAGGGUAUUAGUUUUAAAAUAUAAUAUACCCUAUUUAAUGAUAUACAGUUUUCAUAUAUAUUGAGUAAACUAUUAAUACCUGGCAUUAGGCCUAACACAUAAUCAUUGAUUUGAUCAACAACUUCAAUUGUUGACGCCAAGAUUGCUCUGCUCUUCAAGUAGUCGUACGAAGUGUAAUUAUCCAGGAAAUUAGGAUAAGUACUUUGUACAAUUGCUGCAAUUGGCUCUUCAUAAUCGGUUAUCAGCAUAUCUUUAGGAAUAGGUAUAUCAACAAUACCGUCGUUAGGCUCACUGAUUUUCCCCUCUCCAACGCUUAAAAGCCAAUUUGAAAACAGAGAAAUCUCUUCGUUUUCUUUAGGAUCAGACCCAUGCUUCAAUCUCAUAUUAUUUGUCAAUUCAAGAACUUGACAGUAAUCCCAAAUGUAUGAAGCAUUGAUUGAGGCAUGUACAAUAUCAGACCGAUCACCUCUAGGUAUAACUGGUAAAAUUUGUCGAAAAUCCCCACCAAAAACUACAACCUUCCCCCCAAAAAUGGUUUCACACUUGUUGUCAGCAUCACCCAUUAUAUCCUUAAGUGUUCUGUCCAAACACUCGAAAGUAUAUCUAUGGGACAUUGGUGCUUCGUCCCAUAUGAUCAGUUUUGUUUGUCGAAUAAGGUCUGCCAUAUCACUAUCAUGUUCUAUGUUGCAAGAAGAGUUAUCCAAUGUAGGAACAGGAAUCUUAAAUUUAGAAUGGGCAGUCCGUCCUCCUGGUAGAAGUAGAGAUGCAAUACUGCUUGAAGCGACGGUCAAAACAAUUUCAUGUUUUGACCUUAAGGCACUUGCAAGAGUACGCCACAUAAAGGUUUUCCCUGUUCCACCAUAACCAUGCAAGAAGAAAACACCUCCUUCCUGGUCAUUAACUGCGACCAUGAUUUUGUCAUAUAUAAUUCUCUGCUCAUCUGUGAAUGAAACGUGGAUACCUUGUAGUUAUAAUCAUGAGAAUAACAUAAUAUUAACUUUAUAUUAUUUUCAUUGCUAAAUAUGGCAGUAUAAUACCUGUAAGGGAUGAAAACAACUCUUGAAAUUCAAUCUGUAGGGAUGCUGUAUCAUAAUUACGCUCAUCGUAAAUUAAUCUAUUCCCUAAUUGCUCAAGUACAUAUCCGUCCGGAUAAGGUAAUGAUUUAAAUUCUUUCAAACUCCUUCUACUUGAUUGUAAUAAUUUUUCAAUUUCAAUCAAGGUCAAAUUGUGGAGUUGUUCGUCACUGAGCAGCAAAUCUGUGGAAGAUUUGAUUGAAAUACAUAUUAAAAUGAUAUAAGAUAAUAAUCAUAAUAAGCAAAUUUACAUUUAUGAAUGAAACUCUUUAAAUAGUUAUAUAACAUACCUUGAUUGUGUGCCAAUAUACGCUGUUCUCGUAAUAUCCCAUCGGACAACCACUGAAUUGUUUUAUGCCAUACAUGAAGUGGUCUAUCCAUUGCUCCAGACAACAACAUAAUGACAAACAACCUUCUUAAAAAAUAACCUGACCCCCAUUGAAAAGCUUCUCUAAUAGCACCGAUGAAUUCCAUAUCAUCGUUGAGGAACCCCAUUGCAAAGCAUGCCUCUCUAAAUGAUAAAAAUUGUAUAUCCCCAACUUUGCGAAUCUCUUCAGAUGUUCUUGGUCCUUUUGCAACAGUUAGCAUCAACCUCAAAUAGAACAAUUCUCCGGUGGUAGGUGGAACUCAAAUUAAUCUACCAAUUGUAAAACCCUUCUUCCUAGGUGUCCAGACCCUAUUUUUUUUGUUAUACACGAACUUGGAAACAAACUGCCCAUAAGUCAACUCUCUAGCAGCUUCGUAAUCUUGAUUAGCUUGGAGCCAAGCUGUGAACAUAGAUUCAGUGACACUCGCCUUUUCAAGCACAUUUUCUAUAUUUGAGUGAUCAGUGAAAUAAAUGCAUUUUUCCCCAACCAAAUGGAAAAACAUACGUUCAACUGCAGGUUUUCGCCCAUGAAUUGAGAAAGAUAGAAUUCUCCAACAUGCCUCACUUGGUGAUAUAUACCUACAAUCCAAGUAUUGUUUUAUUUCAUCAACGGGUUGUUGAAUAGUUCUUGCAUUUUGUUCAGCUGGCACAACCCUUGCUGCAAUGCGAUCAUACCCCUUAUGUAUAUAUUUGAAAAGAUACUUAAUUGAUGAACUUUGAUUACACCAUUCCAUGUUGAUAUGCGCUUGAUAUUUCAACAACAAAGUUGUGUUAUAUGGAACCACAUGUCUGUUAUCUAAAGUAAUGCCAUUUUUUACUAUGGUAUGAGUUUUAGAGCUUCUUCUGUAUACUGGAUAUCCAUCUUUAUCAACAAUAGUACGUUCAAUAAACUUCUUGGGAAAGAAUUUUGAACAUUUAUCCUUUUUCAUGCAUGGUGAUGACAAUCUAGCAAGUCCACAUGGACCAUGCAUCAUGUGACUUUUAACCAAGUUGUACAACUCAUUAUGCUUGUUUGGAUCAGGUAUUUCCGCUGAAAUGAUUUUGUCAAUAUCUGCAGGUGUUGGAUACUUGCUGGAUGGAUGCAAAAAAAUCAGAAUGUGAGCAUGUGGUAAACCUCUCUUCUGGAACUCGAUGGUGUACAUAUCUGUUAAAAAGUAUUGUUAUGAUUAGUACACAUAUAAGUGUUAAAAUUAGUAGCAAAGUAAAAGAAUAAUGUGAAUUAUCAGCUUACAUGCUAGAACUUUCCCCAGUGUAUGUUUCUUUGUUAGGUCCUUCAUAAGUUCAUCAAACUUUAUCUUAAAUACCCUUGAUAUGAUAUCUGGGCGAUCUUGAGGCUUUAAAUUGUGCUUCGCAAGUUCUCUUGUGAUUUCUGGCCAGUUUGGGUUGCAUGUGAAUGUAAUAAAAAUAUCUGGAAAACCAACCACACUUGAUAUAGCCAUUCCAUCAAAGUAAAGCUGAUCCAUGUACCUUUUGCUUCCAACAAAAGUUGAUGGGAGUAUCACUCUCUUGCCUUGCAUCCUUUGCUGACCUUGGUCAUUACCAUCAUUGAGUUGUCUGUAUUUCCCAACUCUAAGCUUUGACUGAUUUCUCCUUAGCCAAUUAAGCCUCUCUGCUUCCAUCAUGGCAUAUCCAUCUACAAAAUUGUUUCAAAAGUUUCCUGGAGCAUAGUAAAGUGAUUGCCUCAUUUUUUUCUUGAUUGUAUUCUAAAUGAGAGCCACCAUUUGAUAGUUAACCGGUUUUUGCUAUUAACAACGGUAUCAUCUUUAAACCGGAGUAAAAUACCAGGACGGUAACCGUCUUCUCCAUAUGGAAAUAUAAGUGGAUAUUGAUAGCCAAGAUAACUUGCAUGAAACUCAUCUAUUCGUUGAAGAUUUCCAGUUUGUCCUUGGAGGAUAAUAUCUCGAUAUGACGCUGAAUCAAUAUCACCUACAAUCAGUGCGGCAACUUCUGAAAUGGUUGGCUUGUUAUAGAUUCUGCCAUCAGUUUUCCGGUCUGAGAUAAGUUUCAAUUUAACAUCUUGUACUGGACCGUCGACAAACAUAUCUCUGGCCAUUCGGAAGGCUUUAGCAUGAACAUUAUUCUGAUCCAACAUUGUCUUUAAGUCUCUCACUAUUCGUUGAUCAAUGUCCUUAUUGUCCCUAAUUCCAUAAAAUCAAUAGUUGAUUAUCAAAAUGAAUGCUAAGUUUGUAAAGAAUGAUAAAAAGUGAAGUAAAUAUAGUGAUAAGUGAGAAUUUACCUGAAACAACCAAUCCUGUUUGAUAUCUCAUUUUCUGUAUCAUAGAUGUAUAACUGAGCAAAUUUUGGGCGUUGUCCGGCUAAUGGUAACAUGCUUCCGAUUCGGUGACAAGUUUGGCCUUGCAUUCGCAGAGUUGGUGGACCCCUACCUUUGUUUGUGGUAGUAUCCAUGUUCAUACCAGGUGAAGUGAAUGAGAACAUGGCAUUGUAUGUUCUGGCAUUGCUCUGAUAAUUUUUGCUAGCCUUGGUUUGAUCAAGUAAAAGGCGUUGAAGUAGUUCAGGAGACUGUUCUAAUAAAGGCAGUUGCACCUUUCCAGAACCACGACAUAAAUGGAAUUUGGGAUUCUGUGUAUGUUUGUUCUUCUGCUUCCUUUCCUGAUACCACAUCAUAGCAGAACAAUCAGGACACUCCCAAACCGGAUCUCCUAUAUCACCAUACACUGUUUCCGUUUUUCAUACAAUUAAAAUGAGUCAGAUUGUGCAAAAUUAUAUGACAACAGACUUAAUAAAUCUGUAGAUAGUAAAUAUGAAUCUACCUUGGCCAUAUAUCUCAUCAGUGAUAUCAAUAUCAUCAUCACUGCUACUAUCUGACAUAGUUUGAUCACUGUUUUCAGUGUCUGAAUCAGAUCCAUAAUUAGCAUUAACCUCAUCAUGAUCUGUGUUUCCAGGUGGUACUCUAUCCGACAUUGUGUGAAAAUAUUCAGCAUCAGUUUGAAUUGACUUUCUUGUGUUUGAACUUCGAUGUGCUGAAUUGGAAGAUGUUGGAGUUUGAGCAGAAACUUGGGGGUUACCAUUUAUUUGAGAUGGUUGAGGGUCAUUUAAAUGAGCAGGAAGAGGUACUCUAACUGACUUCUGCUGCAAUGAUGGACUAUUUAUAGUUGGUGAAUGAUGACUACUAUUCAUAUUGACACUUAUAUUUGCUGCAUCUUCAUAUUGUACAGUAGUAUUAAUUGUUCCAAAUUUCUGAGAGAAAGCAGAAUGUGUAAGAGUUGGAAGUGUUGAUUUAAACUUGUUCAGAAGUGUUUGGGCAGGUGCAGGUUUUCUAACAUCAGAAUUGAAGUGAUGUAAAUGAGAAUGCUCAUUCUGAAAGUGGCUUUGAUUUGAAUUUGUGGAAGAACUUUUAGACCUCAAAAGCUCAUUUGGACUAAAGUAGAAUUGAUUCUUAAGUGUGGGUGGGGUAAUAUCAAAAAGACUUGUUUCAAGUGGAUCUGUUAUGGUUCUUCUAUGAAAAGCAUUAGUAGUUGGUUGUUGUUUACCAGAUUGUGGAACCUUUGGAUGAAUCAAAGAGGUUUGUGGUUGACUUGUAGGACUUGGCUUACCAGCAAUGAUGUUUGCAGCAUUUCUUUUAUUGGGAUUGAUAUUGCCUGCAAAGUGAGAUGCUUCAUUCUUACGUUUUGCACCAACU